Molecule: ribosomal RNA, 116 nt
Filed under: Castor canadensis (American beaver)
Lineage: Eukaryota; Metazoa; Chordata; Mammalia; Rodentia; Castoridae
Source: RNAcentral
AUCUAUGGCCAUACCAACUUGAAUGGCAGAUCUUAUCUGAUCUCAGAAGCAAAACAGUGUUAGGCCUAUUUAGUACUUGUAUGGGAGAUCAUUUGGGAAACCCUGUGCCACAGACU